This 449-nucleotide ribosomal RNA is filed under the name uncultured bacterium. Its description in RNAcentral is "partial 16S ribosomal RNA". It matches the Rfam family "Bacterial small subunit ribosomal RNA", at positions 29 to 523 of the family's 1533-position model. The record is from RNAcentral.
AACGGACGCUGGCGGCAUGCCUAACACAUGCAAGUCGAACGAGACCUUCGGGUCUAGUGGCGCACGGGUGCGUAACGCGUGGGAAUCUGCCCUCUGGUUCGGAAUAACUCAGGGAAACUUGAGCUAAUACCGGAUAAUGACUUCGGUCCAAAGAUUUAUCGCCUGAGGAUGAGCCCGCGUCGGAUUAGCUAGUUGGUGAGGUAAAGGCUCACCAAGGCGACGAUCCGUAGCUGGUCUGAGAGGAUGAUCAGCCACACUGGGACUGAGACACGGCCCAGACUCCUACGGGAGGCAGCAGUGGGGAAUAUUGGACAAUGGGCGGAAGCCUGAUCCAGCAAUGCCGCGUGAGUGAUGAAGGCCUUAGGGUUGUAAAGCUCUUUUACCCGGGAUGAUAAUGACAGUACCGGGAGAAUAAGCCCCGGCUAACUCCGUGCCAGCAGCCGCGGUAA